RNAcentral lists this ribosomal RNA (468 nucleotides) under uncultured bacterium. RNAcentral's name for it is "partial 16S ribosomal RNA". It matches the Rfam family "Bacterial small subunit ribosomal RNA", at positions 28 to 507 of the family's 1533-position model. The record is from RNAcentral.
GACGAACGCUGGCGGCGUGCUUAACACAUGCAAGUCGAACGGAAAGGCCCUGCUUUUGUGGGGUGCUCGAGUGGCGAACGGGUGAGUAACACGUGAGUAUCCUGCCCUUGUCUUUGGGAUAACUUCAGGAAACUCGGGCUCAUACCGCAUAUGAGCUCCUGCUGCACGGUGGGGGUUGGAAAGUUUCGGCGGUUGGGGAUGGACUCGCGGCUUAUCAGCUUGUUGGUGGGGUAGUGGCUUACCAAGGCUUCGACGGGUAGCCGGCCUGAGAGGGUGACCGGCCACAUUGGGACUGAGAUACGGCCCAGACUCCUACGGGAGGCAGCAGUGGGGAAUAUUGCACAAUGGGCGGAAGCCUGAUGCAGCAACGCCGCGUGCGGGAUGACGGCCUUCUGGUUGUAAACCGCUUUCGCCUGUGACGAAGCGUGAGUGACGGUAAUGGGUAAAGAAGCACCGGCUAACUACGUG